GAAAUGCCAUCUCCAGCUCCUACAGCUCCAC
Molecule: non-coding RNA, 31 nt
Filed under: Homo sapiens (human)
Lineage: Eukaryota; Metazoa; Chordata; Mammalia; Primates; Hominidae
Source: RNAcentral